AAGGCACCUUUGGGUAGCUACGCCUAGCUGUCAGGAUGGCACGAUGAGAACCGUGACAUCCACUAAAUCCCAGCAUAACAGUGGGAUGGACUCGGGCAUACCUGCAAAGUUGCUGCCAGGGUCGGUGAUUCAACUUUGGGCAGCCACUGUCUCUUGAUGAUCCCUGUGUUGCUUCUAGGGGGUCCUUCCGGUGUUCCCUGCCCAAGUUAGCCUGUAGAAGAUGCAUGUGAGGGACCCGAAGGUGAGUAAGUAGUGCAAGCGAGCCUCCAGCUUCUCCUAAAAGGCAUCAAAAAUCAUAUUCAGGUGAAGCUCCACAUCUGAGCUCAUACUGCAAGGGUCAAGGGAGCAAACGUCAUCCUCCAU
Molecule: non-coding RNA, 363 nt
Organism: Pelobates cultripes (western spadefoot toad)
Lineage: Eukaryota; Metazoa; Chordata; Amphibia; Anura; Pelobatidae
Source: the annotation of a GenBank genome assembly